GCAAACUUGGUCAUUUAGAGGAAGUAAAAGUCGUAACAAGGUCUCCGUUGGUGAACCAGCGGAGGGAUCAUUACUGAGUUGUAAAAAACUCCCAAACCCAUGUGAACCUACUGUUUUGUUGCCUCGGCGGGCUGGCCCCCCGGCGGACCUACCCGGUAGCUUCGGGCGGACCUACCCUGCAAUGCGGGAGCGGUCCUACCCGGUAGCCUCACCGGCCGGUCCUACCCGGGAGUGCCGCCCAAGGCCCGCCGGCGGCCCACCAAACUCUGUUUUUACUUGGUACUCUGAGUGAUUACGCAAAUAAUCAAAACUUUCAACAACGGAUCUCUUGGUUCUGGCAUCGAUGAAGAACGCAGC
This 357-nucleotide unclassified non-coding RNA is filed under the name uncultured fungus. RNAcentral's name for it is "partial contains small subunit ribosomal RNA, internal transcribed spacer 1, and 5.8S ribosomal RNA". The stretch from base 1 to 73 matches the Rfam family "Eukaryotic small subunit ribosomal RNA", at positions 1759 to 1831 of the family's 1831-position model. Lineage: Eukaryota; Fungi. The record is from RNAcentral.